This 537-nucleotide unclassified non-coding RNA is filed under the name Zea mays. Its description in RNAcentral is "misc RNA Zm00001eb055520". Lineage: Eukaryota; Viridiplantae; Streptophyta; Magnoliopsida; Poales; Poaceae. The record is from RNAcentral.
UGUUAAGUUCCCUAGGCGUCAUGAUAGUCAACACUUCAUCCUACAGGAUAUCACAGGAUCCAAAAUGGAAGCAAUUUCAAGCCGCAAUAAUGUUCCAUGUUUCGAUGCCUUACUCACACAAGGAUGCACAUAUACAUUGUAUAGAGUGGGAUUCUGUCUAAAUAGGGAGGGGAUUCAAUUUCGGAAUAUUGGACAUGGGCUAGAGAUCGGACUGAUAACACAUACUAUUGUGGAGCCAUUCAUUAAGCCAAUCCAAUUUCCUCCAUUUCCAAAGUAUCUUAUGCCAUUCCAUAAGGUGUAUCAACAACCACAUAAGUCGUUCGUAGACAUUAUUGGCAUAGUUCUUCAUUUAGAGCCAUUAAAGCAUAUUGGUGGAAGGCCGUAUAGAGAGGCUGUACUAAUGGAUUCCAGGUGGGAUCUAAUCGUCGUGGGGGUAUGGACUGACCUCUUGCAAAGAAAUGCUCUACGAUGGUCGUUAGCUAGAGUUGACAAUAACAUAAUUAUUGGAACUAUGCUGCGUCGUAACAAUAAACACAG